This 253-nucleotide ribosomal RNA is filed under the name uncultured bacterium. RNAcentral's name for it is "partial 16S ribosomal RNA". It matches the Rfam family "Bacterial small subunit ribosomal RNA", at positions 524 to 776 of the family's 1533-position model. The record is from RNAcentral.
UACAGAGGGUGCAAACGUUGUUCGGAAUUACUGGGCGUAAAGCGCGUGCAGGCGGCCUUGCAAGUCGGACGUGAAAUCCCACGGCUCAACCGUGGAAGUGCAUUCGAAACUGCGAGGCUGGAGUCCUGGAGAGGAAAGUGGAAUACUCGGUGUAGAGGUGAAAUUCGUAGAUAUCGAGUGGAACACCGGUGGCGAAGGCGGCUUUCUGGACCGAUACUGACGCUGAGGAGCGAAAGCCAGGGGAGCAAACGGG